Long non-coding RNA from Marmota monax (woodchuck), 318 nucleotides. RefSeq lists it as uncharacterized. Lineage: Eukaryota; Metazoa; Chordata; Mammalia; Rodentia; Sciuridae. The transcript is spliced from 3 exons. The record is from RefSeq and is a predicted model, not a curated record.
UGGAGAGAGAGUCUGUGAAUAAGACCAUUAUUUCCAGCCAGGACUCUCCCAAGACAACUAUUCUAACAGCAAUUUCAUCUUUACAAGGAGAUUUCAUGCCCUCUUCAUACACCACCAUUCAUGAAGACCAAAGGGGAGAAGAGCUCAUGCCUGAAAAAGAAGCAACAUCAAGAACAAACCAAGGAAACGUCAGGCACAACAACGAAUGAGAGUGACCACUCAUGCAUACCAAAAAGCCCUGCAGAAGAAACCUAGAUGGGAGAGACUGAUGUGUUACGUACAGACAGAAGACUGUGUAGGACAUCCGCCAUAAAUGAG